RNAcentral lists this ribosomal RNA (226 nucleotides) under uncultured bacterium. RNAcentral's name for it is "partial 16S ribosomal RNA". It matches the Rfam family "Bacterial small subunit ribosomal RNA", at positions 28 to 253 of the family's 1533-position model. The record is from RNAcentral.
GACGAACGCUGGCGGCGUGCUUAACACAUGCAAGUCGAGCGGUAAGGCCCUUUCGGGGUACGACGAGCGGCGAACGGGUAGAGUAACACGUGGGUGACCUGCCCUCAGCUCUGGGAUAAGCCUGGGAAACUGGGUCUAAUACUGGAUAUGACUCCACGGUGCAUGUCGGUGGGGUGGAAAGCCUUGUGCGGCUGAGGAUGGGCCCGCGGCCUAUCAGCUUGUUGGU